AAACUCAAUUGAACUCCAAACAUACAGAGCUUGAUUGGACUUUAUCAUAUAUUUAAGUCCAAUUUGAACCCGAUCGAAUCCCAAUUCACAUUAGGGUUAUAUACACCCUGGUUCAGAAUCAAACUCAAUCCACUGAACUUCGUUCAUCUUUUAUUCAAUCUUCAGCAUUUCAAAGGUCUCUCAAUCGAAGGUGCCCUAACACUUUGUAGGGGUAAUUAACAAUAAAUGCUUGCGUUUAUUGGAAGCCAUGGAUCCGCAAUACCUGAUAACCAUACAUACACAUAUUUUAAUCUACAUCAUGAAUACUACCCCACGGGAGAACCAAAAGAUAAAAAUUCCCCGUGCGAGGUAUGUC
This 355-nucleotide long non-coding RNA is filed under the name Ananas comosus (pineapple). RNAcentral describes it as "long non-coding RNA (ACOM_LNC019677)". Lineage: Eukaryota; Viridiplantae; Streptophyta; Magnoliopsida; Poales; Bromeliaceae. The record is from RNAcentral.